RNAcentral lists this ribosomal RNA (1369 nucleotides) under Xylosandrus germanus. Its description in RNAcentral is "16S ribosomal RNA". The stretch from base 879 to 1239 matches the Rfam family "Archaeal large subunit ribosomal RNA", at positions 2151 to 2715 of the family's 2987-position model. Lineage: Eukaryota; Metazoa; Arthropoda; Insecta; Coleoptera; Curculionidae. The record is from RNAcentral.
UUAAUGGAUGUAGUUUGAACAAUGAAAUGUCUAUUGUUUGAUUAAUUGUUUAUUUAAGUAACUAAAGAAUUAUUUGGUUUUAGUAGAUUUAUUGAACUAAUAUUUUUAGAUAUAGGGAAGUAGUAUUGUGAAAGAAUUUUUUGAAUAAUUAAAAAGAAAGAAUAAUUUUUUGUACCUUGUGUAUCAGGGUUUAUUAAAAAAAUAUUAAGAUUUUAAUUUUCUCGAAUUUGGAAGAGCUAUUUAGUUAUAUUUUUUAUUGUGGCAAUAAUAUUGUUAAUAAUUAAAUUGUAGUGAAAUGCUAAUCGAUUUCAAAUAUAUCUAGUUUUUAAAGAAAAAAAUUUAAUUUUUUUCCGUUUAUUAUGAUAAUUUUUAGUUUUUAAAAUUAUUUUUGGCGGGGGCAAUAAUUUAGGGGUUGAGCUUUAGGUUAAAUUUAUAAAACAGGACUUUUUGAUUAAGCAAAAUUGGUAGGAUUUGAAGUUUCUGCCUUGGAGUGAGUUAUAUCUUGAUUUAUUUAGAUUAGGAUUUUUUAUAUUUGUUUAUGUUUUUUAUUUAAAUAUAUGUUUUAAUUUGGAUUAUUUAGGAAUAAUGAUAGAAUUAGUAUAAUUUUGUUUCUUUGUUGAAAGGAAUUUAAGGUUUAUCAAAGGAAUUCGGCAAAAAUAUGUUCUCACCUGUUUAUUAAAAACAUGGCCUUUCGCUUAUAAUUUAAGGUCUGGCCUGCCCAAUGAGUUUUGAAUGGCCGCGGUAUAUUGACCGUGCAAAGGUAGCAUAAUCAUUAGUUUUUUAAUUGAAAGCUUGUAUGAAAGGUUGAAUGAGGAACUAGCUGUCUCUGUUAAAAUUUAAUAGAAUUUUAUUAGUAUGUAAAAAGGCAUAUAUGUGUAUAAAAGACGAGAAGACCCUAUAGAGUUUUAUAAUUUAAGUGGAAAGGACAAUUGGAAUAUUUAAUUUUAUUUGUUUGAAUUAUUUAGUUGGGGUGAUUGGAUAAUUUAAUAAACUUUUCUUUAUUAUUAUGCACUGAUAGGUGGAUAAUUGAUCCUUUGGGAAGAUUAAAAGAAAAAAUUACCUUAGGGAUAACAGCGUUAUUUUUCUAGAGAGUUCUUAUCGAAAGAAGAGUUUGCGACCUCGAUGUUGGAUUAAAAUUAAGGUUUGGUGAAGAAGCUGAACUUUUAGGUCUGUUCGACCUUUAAAAUUUUACAUGAUCUGAGUUUAAACCGGCGUGAGCCAGGUUGGCUUCUAUCUUUAUUAUUUUAAUAUUUUUUAGUACGAAAGGACCAAAAAUUUGCUAGAAUAGUUUAAUGUUGAAUAUUAUUGUUGCUUUGACAGAAUAGUGUGAUAGAUUUAGAAUCUUUUUAUGUAAUUUAUUGGUAAUUAC